UCCCAGUUAGUACAAUGGUUAGUAUAGGGCACUCUCACUCGAUCGUUGUAUCAACACGGUUCUGUGCUGCUCAGAUCAGGGUUCGAUUCCCUGGCCGGGAA
This 101-nucleotide transfer RNA is filed under the name Sporisorium reilianum SRZ2. RNAcentral describes it as "tRNA-Glu for anticodon CUC". It matches the Rfam family "tRNA". Rfam says of the family: Transfer RNA (tRNA) molecules are approximately 80 nucleotides in length. Their secondary structure includes four short double-helical elements and three loops (D, anti-codon, and T loops). The record is from RNAcentral. Lineage: Eukaryota; Fungi; Basidiomycota; Ustilaginomycetes; Ustilaginales; Ustilaginaceae.